Molecule: long non-coding RNA, 215 nt
Organism: Hemicordylus capensis (graceful crag lizard)
Lineage: Eukaryota; Metazoa; Chordata; Lepidosauria; Squamata; Cordylidae
Exons: 3
Source: RefSeq, a predicted model, not a curated record
GAGAGGAGUUGGGAGCACAUCCAAUACCUGGAUUUCAAGGGAAGAGGCCAACUGCAUUCAUCAUCAACCCACCCAGCAUAUAUCUGCAACACAGUUAAAUCUCUGUUCAUUCCCAGUUUCCAGAGUAGUAAGAAAGAUAAAAAUGCAUCUGUGCUAUGGCAGUCCAUGGAAGCUAAGAUUCUUCACAGUAUUUCACGAGCACAAUAUUAAUUCUC